This 360-nucleotide long non-coding RNA is filed under the name Prunus persica (peach). RNAcentral's name for it is "long non-coding RNA (PPER_LNC003765)". The record is from RNAcentral. Lineage: Eukaryota; Viridiplantae; Streptophyta; Magnoliopsida; Rosales; Rosaceae.
CAAAUUUUAAAAUUUUUCAUUAAUAUGUGUUUUUGGAGUUAGUUUUGAGUUUGUGUGGGGUUUGGUGUUGAGUAAAGGGGAGAGAUUGGAGUUUGGGUUGGAUUUGUGGUAUAACAAUUUUAGGGGAGAUUAUGCCUUUUUUUUUUUUUUUGGUUGUUAUUUGACCAUAUUUAUUUUUUUGUAGGUAAUCAUCGAGACUUUGAUGGCUAAAGUUGAGGAUUAGGAAGCUAUCAAAACAUAUCAUCCGCCACUACCACCACAAUACGCUUGUAUUAGGAUUUUAUUAUUAUACUUUGUUAAUUUAUGUGUACAUUUUGAAUAUUAUAUACAUAUUUAUUGGAUAAUUUGAUCACUAUUUUU